Molecule: ribosomal RNA, 329 nt
Filed under: Jivarus sp. PKF-2004
Lineage: Eukaryota; Metazoa; Arthropoda; Insecta; Orthoptera; Acrididae
Description: partial 12S ribosomal RNA
Source: RNAcentral
AUUAAUAGUUAGGAUCUUUAAACCCAAAGAAUUUGGCGGUAUCUUAUUCCAUUCAGAGGAACCUACCCCAUGAUUGAUAUUACACGAUUAACUUUACUUAAUUUAUUUGUUUGUAUAUCUCCGUUAUCAGAAAAUCUUUUUAGAGUUAUAAUUUUCUUGAUUUAUAAUUAUAAAGUAUUUCAGGUCAAGGUGCAGCUUAUAAUUAAGGGGAGGUGGGUUACAAUAGAUUUUUGUCUAUAAUGGAUUUAACAUUUAAAUAUUGUUAAUGAAGGUGGAUUUGAUAGUAAUUUAAUUUAUUUAAUUUAUCUGAUAUUGGCUCUGAGAUGUGU